Long non-coding RNA from Nicotiana tabacum (common tobacco), 784 nucleotides. RefSeq lists it as uncharacterized. Lineage: Eukaryota; Viridiplantae; Streptophyta; Magnoliopsida; Solanales; Solanaceae. The record is from RefSeq and is a predicted model, not a curated record.
AACCAUCACAAUAGGUAUAUCUAUGGAAACGGAUAUCUUAAAAUAAAAUCUAUUGGGACGGUUCAGAUUCCCUCCUUAUUUUCCCCCUUCUAUUUUUCGCAAAACCCUAACCUUUUGAGUGGAGUUUUUUUAGUUGCUAAUAUUUCUAAGCCUGAUGAGAGACAAAGUAGUACUCUAAGACCUUUUGUUGCCAAGUCCAAAUCGAUAGUUGAAUCCAAAAUAUAGCAUCUUGAUAUAACACUCCUAAAGAAGAAUCCAUCAUUUUGAAGCGACAAAAUGGAGGUCUAUUCUGCCUAUGGAGGUCGCAAAUCUGGACUUCUAAAGAACAUAGAUUUUUCUUCUAUCGCUAGGUCCCAUUUCGCUGGUAAAGGUCGCCGAUCUGGGCUGCCAAAGAACUCAUUAUUUUAUUGCACAACUAGGUCUAUUAUCGAGCAAAGCCAACCCCAUUUCACAUUUAGUUCCUUUCGGUGGAAUCAAAUACUAUCGAAUUUGUGCUAAGGCUUUUUGGUAGCAAAUGGGCACAACCAGUAGUGCCAGAAUCUGCAGCGUUACCUGCUGGCCAUUUGCAUAGUUUUGGAUUCAAGAUUAUCUCGAAGGUGCAAAGAUUGCGGAUGAAACCAGUGAAGUAGACCUUACUUGAAAGUUCUAUUAUCAUGUUCAAUAUUUUAGUUUAGAACUUUUUGUAUGCAAACUCAUCUAUUUUGACUUUUGAAUUGUUGAUCAAACAAUGUAUUCAUAUUUUGUUUUUGUAUAUGGAUAAAGCUAGUUGAAUAUUUUUAUUUUA